RNAcentral lists this long non-coding RNA (827 nucleotides) under Homo sapiens (human). RNAcentral describes it as "HSALNT0208989". The record is from RNAcentral. Lineage: Eukaryota; Metazoa; Chordata; Mammalia; Primates; Hominidae.
GGGAUUCUGCUUUUGCAUCUUCCUCGUUUUCUCUUGCCGCUGCCAAGUAAGAAGUGCCUUUCACCUCACACCAUGUUUCUGAGGCCUCCCCAGCCAUGUGGAACUGCAAGUCCAGUUAAACCUCUUUUUCUUCUCAGGGCUACCUUAAUGAGCAGCCAGGAUGCCAUCAUCUCCGACCUGAAUGACAAUAACCUCCAAACCAGCCUUUGUAUACUCCUUCCUGCUGCUCUGCAGUCCACUUCCACAGACCAGCCAACUGAAUCUCCUUAUAGAUUCAUAAUGGCCAUCAGCACAAAGAUGUUUUAUCUGCAGUCAACCAGUCAUGUUUCAUGAUGGCAUCAAAAUGUGCUGGAAAAGGUCAGAGAAAAUCAUCAUCAUAAAGUGAAGUGAUUUUCUUCUUUAUGAGCUCCUGAUGUAAACAGACUGAUGAGCACAACACAAUCCUUACUCACCCACAUGACAUCAUACACAAUCACAGCUAAAUGUUUCUAUCUGUCAAAGCCUGAAGAGUGACUACCAGAUUGUUGCCUGAUUGCUAAGAAUUGAUGCUUGUUCAACUGGGAUCUAUCCAGAGAAACAUAAUCCACUUCAAGAAUUUUCUGAAAAGGGAAUCUAAUGCAAGGAAUUAAUUGCAAAGAUGAUGCAAUAUCUGAGAACGAUAGAUUUGACAGUUUGGUCUACAUUUCAAGGCUGGUUAGAUGGGAGGUAUGUCCUGGUAUAUUAGUUAAUUUAGGUAUAUCUUACUGAUUUACAUUGCAUGAUUUAUCAGAUGCUAUUGACUCAUUCAAGUAAAUACAUUUAAAAAUUAUACCUUUUGCUCAUACUAG